Molecule: long non-coding RNA, 3893 nt
Organism: Acinonyx jubatus (cheetah)
Lineage: Eukaryota; Metazoa; Chordata; Mammalia; Carnivora; Felidae
Exons: 3
Source: RefSeq, a predicted model, not a curated record
UAGGAGCCUCUCCUCGGGGAACUGAUCGACCAGUUUGGUAGGCUAGUUGCCUGUAGGGGGAGAGAUUACCCCGGGAAAACAUUUUCCCUGGUUCACAACAAAAAACGUUUGCUGGGCGCGGGCGGAGGGGGAGACAGACUGUAGGAGGACAGGUGACUAAUUAAGGAGAAGAAUUUUUGAUUAUCUGUUGUUUCAGCUUAUCAGAGCAAUUGCUUCCCUCUGUUAACAUGGGUAAUUAAGAACUGACUGUGUAGGUGAUUCAAACCUUCCUCGCUCACAUGAAGUUCUCUUCAGUAAUACACAAGCAUGCACAGAAUUAUUCACUGGAAGGGAUGGACAUCCUUCCAGUGUUUGCUGUCAAAUAUAAUCUCGUCCAACUUCCAUUAAAUUAUCGAUUAGGUGGAGAGCUCCCUUAAACAAGAGCAUCUAUCUGUCAUCGAUCUCUCAUCUGUUAGGUACAUAGUUCUGUAAGUUGAACAAAAUAUUCACAAUAGUAAUGUUACUCUUGCCCCACCUCUCCCCACCCUUUUGACUUCUUUAGGUUCUUUAGGCUAAGAAUACAGGCUAAGGCUUAUAUAACAUUUUAUGCUGUCUCCCUGUAGUUCUUGAUAAGGCAGAGAAUAAGAAACAAGGCCGUUUGGAAAAUGUGAACAGGAAAUAGUUAAACACAAGCACAGAAUGCUGUUACAAUGAGGAAGAGCCUUGCCUCAUGCCUCGGCCCCAUGUACCAAGCGUGGACGACCAGCAGAAUUUUCCGCUGUUUCCUGAAAUAAGCCCAAGAACACUCUGACUCCCAGCAUCUCCCAGCACUUACAGGGGCCUAUUCAGACGAGGAGCCCUAAAGCUGACCCGAAGCUUCAUGAGCUGCUUCACCUUUAUGGUAACAAGGUGAGCACCUUUUUGGGAGCACCUAUCUUAGUUUGGAGUUGUUAAAUCAUUAACAUGUCUAUUUUAUUAAUCUCUUCCUCCCCUAGUAGACGGUGUUCUGUGAGAUCAGGGACCAUGUCUAACUUUGCCAAUCAUGAAAUCUUUAGUGUUUAGUGUGGUGCCCGAGACGGAACAGGUGCUCGAUAAAUAUUUCUUUGCCUAGCACAGUGCCUGACAGGGUUCAGUGUUGGGCUGAAUGGAACAGAUAGAAGCCCUACCCUUCCCUCACUUUCUGUAGGCAGAAUGCCAACCUCCAAAUAGUCAAUGUAAGCAAAGCUGUCUGGGAUAACUUAUGAAAGGGAAGAAUGGAGAAGGAAGCAAAUGGUUUGCUUAGGGUGGGCCUAGACGGGCUUAGACUGGGAAGCUGGGGGGGUUAGUGUGAGUGGUGCUGGAACUGCCAUACUUUAGUGCCCCCCACUCCCCCUCUAAGCCUCGUGGGGGAUGGGCGGGAGGCUGUGCAUAACAGCAAACUGAAGGGAAAAGGUGCAGGAAAUCAGAAAGCAGUCAGCGAACAUCAUUAGAAUGAGCCAGUAAUAAUCAUAAUAACAGUCAUUUACCACGUUUUAGGCCCCGAGCUCCAUACUGUCCCAUACAUUAUCUCAUAUCUUGCUCAUAAUGAGUCUGUGAGAGAUAUUAUCUCCAUUUCAUGCUGUGGAAACUAGGACUCGUGUUGGUACAGAACUUGGCAGUGUUCCCAUGGAAGUCCAAGGCACUCCAACCCUGCUCUUUCUGAGUUCUGAGCCAGAAUUCCCGUUCAACCUGUGUACUAUUAGCUGGAAGAAGAGUCUAGAAACAGGCAGAGCCUCCUGUGAGUGGGGGUCAAAGCAGCUUCCAGGGUGCACCUUGGUCAGUUGCCAGAGAGCCAGACAGAAGAAGGGAUUUAUUGGCCACUGGGCAGGGGACCUGUGGGAGCAGGAUUUGGCUUGAGCCAUGACUAGGUUGGAAGUAGGGUGGGACCAGGAAGGAUGAGACCAAUGACAAUGAAAGGUGAACAUCCAGCACCUAGGAGAGCUCCAGGUUCGCUUCUCCUGGGUGGGGCAAAGCUGGACCUGGCAAUGCUAUUGGCCCUCUCUUUUGCCCACGGAGCCCCCCCAGGUCAAGCCAUCUAUUCAUCGAUGUGACUGGGUGGCACGCACUGCCUGCGGGCAGCUCACAACACUUGUGAGCUGCGUGUUAAGCAGAGGAGAUGUAUGCCAGACUUCUAGGUUGUAGCCCAGCUACGUCCCAGAACCCAGACCCUGCCCUGAAUUCUUGAGCAGUGGAAACAGCAGGGACAGCUGUGAAAACAAGCAGCCUUGCUCAUCUUGGCAUUGAGUUAUAGAGCACAUCGCCAUUAUAGAGGGAAUCAGUAACAUCUGUCUUUCCUGGCCCUUAUUUAACUUAUUCUACUUAGGAAGCCUCCCCCUGUUCCCACUCUGUAACUACUGUAAAUGAUGCAAAAGAGCAGCAAGAGACAGAGACAGAAAGAGUGAGGGAGAAUUAAUUUACCACUGGGUGAAAUGAAAAUGUACUGAAGUGUAAUGGAAUUUCAUUAACUUCGGAAAUGAUGAUGAAUGCUGUCCAAAUAAUUCUUACUAAUGCAUAAUUCACAGCUGAAAAUAGAGCCAAACUCUCCUAAAAAGCACAUCCAUUUAUGCCCCCAAAUUAAUUUGGUGUGUUAUUCAGGAUGGUUGACAGGAUAAAAGAUCUACUAUGAAAUGUAAUCAUCUAUUAAGAUUGGGAAUCUAUGAGUCUUUCUAGUUUAGUAGAUGAGGGUAGCUGAUAACAAGUGGCAUCUUGAGAGGCAGACACCCACAGUCCUCAUUCUCAUAAUUUGAAUCUCCCCAAAGACAUAAUUUCAGACAUAACCACGGAGAAGUUAGGAUGAGCUUUGAGAUCUCCAUAGCAACCACGACCCAGUUCAUAUAUAUAUCCCAAAAGGAAAUUAAAAUCCCUUUCAACAGAUUCAAAUGGGGUCAGGAAAAGACCCAUACCUUUUCUGACUGGCAAUGUUUUUACAUUAUAUGUUUAUAUAAUAUAUAAAUUAUAUAGAUCAUAUAUUAUAUACAUUUACAUAUAAUUAGGUGGAAAGGUUUAAAAAUUACUUUCCCAUUUUGUUCAAUACUGUCUUUCCUACUCCACAAACUCUCAGCGACAUUUAUCACUUAAUGUCUCAAGAUAUAAUAAUCCCUUCAUUAAAACCCACUUAGGCUUUUUGUGUACUCAGGGGAGUGGUAAUGGGGGAGAGACCUUUUCACCUUUAGAUCUGACACAAACCCCCACUGUGGUUGGCAGAGAGACUCUAUUAUUAAGUAGGAGGGUAGCUAUUGGCUCAGCUUCUACCAAUGGGAAUAUGUAAUCAGAGGCCAGUCAACACCCUACAGUGGAGGCAUCCUGGCUCUUACCCCUGAUUGGUCCCUUCAGCCAAUUAGAGAGAACCUUGGUCAGACAUGUGAAUAGUAAUGUUAGGGAUGACUUCAGGAAUCCUCUGAAUUCCUUCCCCAGGGUGGAUUGUACUGUGUGGAGGUGGAGGUGUCAUGGGGGGAGCAUUGCCUUCCAAGGCGACCUCUAUUUGUCUAAAUGGCCAGACCUUAUGAUUUGAGGUGCUGGGGUGGUAAACAAGCACACUGGCUGCUGAUACAGGGGAUAUGAUGCAGGGGGAGGCAGCCCUUGGGAAGAAUCCACCAAUGGGAAGCCUUAGUUGCAGGGCCAUCAACACCCAACAAUGGAGGCAUCAUGGCUCCUCCCCACCAUGGAUCCCUCUGCCACUCAGAGAGUACCCUGUUGCUGACAUAUGAAUAGUGAUAUCAGGGAUGACAAAUGCUACCCGUGCAGGUCUUUUACCAAAGAUGAGGUCUAGUUGGUGGAAAUGGGACUACUACCUUCCAAGACCACCCCUAUUCCUCCUAAUGGCUUGACCCUAUGAUUUAGAAAGCAUCUGGUGGUGAGGAGCACAUUGGUUGCUGAUAGUGUUGGUGACAAAGUAG